Psammomys obesus (fat sand rat) is the source of this 2968-nucleotide long non-coding RNA. RefSeq lists it as uncharacterized. The transcript has 3 exons. The record is from RefSeq and is a predicted model, not a curated record. NCBI's taxonomy places the organism in Eukaryota, Metazoa, Chordata, Mammalia, Rodentia, Muridae.
GGCGACUAGUUUUCAGUUCUCCUUUGGACGUCCUGCCCGGUCGCGGCGCGAUGCCUCUCGAUCCGCGGGUGGCCGUGGGGGACACGGGCAAUCAGGACAUCCUGGUCAUCUUCCACCGCCUGCGCAUGUUGCUUAGCAACCAGGUAGCGGCCGCCUGGCGAGCCCGGGACCCCUCGGCGGACGUGGGAGGAGGAGCCGCCCGGUUCGCCAACGGUCGAAUCCGCCCGCGUGGGUUCUGAGUGACUUCCCCGGCUGUUCGCCCACGCCGGUGAGUGAUGGCUCCGUAGAUGUCCGGUGUGUUUUGACUGCAGUGCCAAAAAUCACAGCUGGGCAAGCAUAACCUACAGGAUGUUUCUGUUCGUCAGUUGCUUGGGGUCACGUCGUGUUCAUUAGAGUUUUAUCUGUAUGCUGAUGACUCCAUGAAGUUAAGAGACAGUUCCUUUUGUAGCUGGAAGAACGGUGUGGAUUCUUCCUGGAAGAAGGAAAGCAGUGAAGAUACCUAGACCUCUGAAAAAGCACAGGCUCUUCAGACAAAUGUGAGCUGCAGGAAGCCAGAACUACAGACUAAAGUGCCUCUACACCCUCCUUUCCAGAACUUACUUCCCCUCCAGAGUGGCUAGCAGAUCAUCAUCAGUGUGCAGAGAGACAGGUAGGGCCAGGACAUAAGUGGGCCAGCCUUGCCAGUCUGCUGCUGGCUCGGCUACAGCCAGGCAGGGCUGGGCAGGAACCAUCAGGAGCUUUGAUGCUCUGCUCCAGUUCUAGGUAAAUGGUGUUACAGCUAAAUCAGAGACAGAAAGACAGCUCUACAAAAGGCAGAGGCCAGCCACCGUUCCCUGUAGCCUGCAUGACAGUCUCUGUAGCCUGCAUGAAUCGGUUUCCCAGACAUAGAGGAGGAACACCAUUCCCCGACCAUCUCAUGUACAGAUGCAGACCCCAUCCUCUGGAACCUGGGACCCAGCAACAAGGAAGUUUCCCAGCAAGCCAAGGUGGCACACUGAGGUCACGCUGUGCUGUGUGGGUGCAGCUGUGCAGUCCUACCAAGUCAGGUCAUGUUGACGAAGAAGCCAUUUGAGAAGAGGUCCAGAGUGCCCCCUCCUCCAUUCCUCUCAGGAGAGCUGGAGGUUUCCUUCCCCCUGUGAAAGGCACCAUGGGAGGAGGGCAGAACUGCAGGACCCAGCCCAGCCUUCUGGGGCCAAAAACAUGGGUCUUGGCUGGACCUGAUAUUUCACUUAUCCGUCGAGAUGGUUCUUUUUCUGAGUCUCAGUUUCCUUCUCUCCUGAGUGGAGGCAAUACUUCUUCUCUCUAAGGACUGAACUGUGUCCUAACCUGGAAAUGUGACCUUUGCACAACAUGGUCUUUUAGAGUGAACAACUUAAAAUGGGUUCAAUAAAGUGGCCCCAAUGCACCGGGGCUGCUGUCUUUAUAGAGAAGGAGAAAUCUGCACUAGACACUCAGGGAAAGAUGGCCAGGGGACAGGAGAGAAGUGGUCAGAUGUCCAGGAAGCUGAGGACUCUGGCAGGCCCCACACGCUGGGAGAGCAGAAGGGACCUGCCUGGAGUUUUUAGGGGGAGCGUGGCCACACCUUGGUUCAUGACUUCUGUCUUCUAGAACUGAGCAUGAGCUUCCCUUGUCUGACACUCAGCUUCUGUUACAGCAGCCUCAGGAGCAACUACACCAUGUACCACCGCUACCGCCCCAGGUGACUUCUUAGAACGUAGAGACAAGCCGUGCUGAUUCUGGCCUUUGUCACAUGCCAAGCACAAACAUAGUGGAAGGUGCCUCACACACAGAGGAGCAGGACACAGGCCCGUGCCUGUCCCUGUCCCCUAACAGCUGUGCAGCACCUCAGUUUCCUCAUCAGCACGAUGAUGUGGGAAAUGCUACCCACUUUCCACGCUGUCACAAAGAUAAAAUGAAUGACAGCAAGCAGCUGUAUAAUGACUGCUUUGUACCUUUUAGAAGGGACAAAGGGGAUGCCAUUUUCUACUGACAACAAGCUUUGACCUGACAAUCAUUUCUCAAUGGUUCUGCUAGACGAAUGAAGGAAGUAGAUUUCUAUCUCUGUCCCCAGUCAUCUGGGUCUCUCCUGAUGCAGACACACUGUGUCACAAGUCAAAGUGGAGUGUCUCACCAUUCUGGCCUCCCCAGGACCUACAUCCACCAAGAUGUCAAUGGUUAAACUGGCAGCAGGCAAGAGAAGGCUUCUUAAAGGCUUCUACAAGGGGCAGUCCUGGAGGUAGGGAUCAUAAAGCCUGGGCAAUGCUGCAUCAGCCCAUUUGAUUUUCUAGAAUGCCAGGUCUGGCAGGUCCUAGCUGUGGCACCAGAACAGACAGUUCCAGAUCCAUUUAGAGCUGUCAGCAUUAAGCCCAUGAUGCCUACCCUGCUCAAGCCUCCAUGGCUAUGCUGUAUGCUGGCUAAAACAGGCCUCUGGGCAUCCAGAAUGUGAUUUGAAAAACUCGGAAGAAGCACGGUGCUUGUCUUCAAAUUGCACUACUUGGAUGUGGUCUAAUCAAGCUCUUUCUGGGACUUUCUGGGACUUCAUGAUAGAGGUUUGUUUCCAUCCCAUCUCUGUUCACCUCACAGGUCCUGUCACUUCUCAGGUCUCCCAAUGUUCCAAAUAUGGGAGCAGGAGUUACAGAGCCUAACAUUCUCCAAGUUCAAUCCAGUCCAUGUGAUUCUCCGUGUCAAGUCACUCUCUGUGUAACUGUUCUACCUCUCACUGGAGCAAGACCCAAACAGGUAGACAUAGGUGAGAGGUAGUCACCCUGGCACUCGGUGUAUUGGAUCCCAAGCAUACAUCUAUGUUGGUGUGAGCACAUAGCUGCCUUCCUUGUUCAUUACAUGCCUGUGUUCAUUUUGUCAGUAGAGAGGGCUGUGCUAUGCAGAUGCUAGAUCUGGCCCCAGCAGCUAUGGCAUGUGAGGUAUGUUAGAGACAAGGUCAUUGUCUUAAAUGACAAAUGGGCCUGGA